Molecule: small nuclear RNA, 19 nt
Filed under: Arabidopsis thaliana (thale cress)
Lineage: Eukaryota; Viridiplantae; Streptophyta; Magnoliopsida; Brassicales; Brassicaceae
Description: snRNA_12782
Source: RNAcentral
GAGCCGUCACACGGAAUCG